AUGACCGAUGCAUGGACAGAUAAGAAAGGCAGAGGAGUAAUGAACCUAGUUGUUCACAGCGCACAUGGGGUCUUCUUUACGGAUUCGGUUGAUUGCUCGGAUCAAAAAAAGGGGAAAUACAUCUAUGAGCUUGUAGACAGGUGUAUUGAAGAUAUAGGGCCAGAAAAGGUUGUCCAAGUGGUGACUGACAAUGCUAGUGUUAAUACAGCAGCUGCAAGUCUAAUGAAAGCAAAGAGACCAAACAUUUUUCCUGGAUGUGCAGCCCAUUGUAUUGAUCUCAUGUUGGAAGAUAUUGGGAAGCUGCCUCUAGUUGAGAAAACAAUUGUCCAAGCUAGGCAAGUUACUGUGUUCUUGUAUGCUCAUACGAUGGUUUUGGCUUUGAUGAGGAAAACACUUGGAAGAGACUUGGUCCGUGCUGGUGUUACUAGAUUUGCCACGGCUUAUCUCAAUCUAAAAAGUUUGCAAGACAACAAGAAGGAGUUGCUUAAACUAUUCAGAUCAGAGGAGCUAAAUGACAUGGGGUACUUAAAGAAGGACAAUGGUAAGAAGGCUCUAAAAGUUGUGCAAACUGAUUCCUUUUGGAAAGGUGUUGACACUGCUGUCAAUUUCUUUGAGCCAAUGGCUAAUGUGCUGAGAAGGAUGGAUAGUGAUGUGCCAACGAUGGGUGUCUUCCAUGGUUGUAUGCUAGAUGCAAAAAAGGAAAUCUCUUUGAGGUUUGACAAUGAUGAGAGUCGUUUCAAAGCUGUUAUAGAUAUCAUUGACAAGAGGUGGGACAACAAACUCAAGAUGCCACUACAUUUGGCUGGGUACUUUCUCAAUCCCUACUAUUACUAUCCAAACAAGAAUGCGAUUGAGAAUGAUGGAUCAUUCAGAGCAGCCGUUAUCCAUUGCAUUACAAGGAUGAUUCAAGAUAAGACGUUGCAAGAGGAGAUUAUGGAUGAACUCAACAUGUAUGAAGAAGAGGCUCAGUCUUUUAGAACAGACAUUGCCACACGGCAGAGAAGAAACAAAAAUUUUGAUCCAGGUUAG
Molecule: ribosomal RNA, 1029 nt
Filed under: Triticum aestivum (bread wheat)
Lineage: Eukaryota; Viridiplantae; Streptophyta; Magnoliopsida; Poales; Poaceae
Description: partial small subunit ribosomal RNA
Source: RNAcentral